AUUAGCUUUAGCCUCUUCAAUAUUUAUCAAACUUUUGCUUGUCGUUUCAAGAAACAAUAUGAGGCAUCUGAAUCUUCUUAUUUUGGCGACAACUCUGGUUUUUCUGAUGAGCAUGCAAGCUCACGAAGCCAUUAGAGUUCCAUUUCCUCAUACAGAAGGAGUUCUGAUUGGGGAGAAAGUCGUCGGGUUAUUAGAGUCUCUAGUGACUCCAGUUACUCCUUCUGGACCCAGCGGCUGCACUCAUGUUCCCACACCUGGAGGUCCAUGUGUGCAUAAUGAAAUGAACUAUGCUGGCCGCCGGGCUAUGGCUCCUCCGCCUCCAUACCCACAUCCUAUGGCUCCAGUUGGAAUGUCUGCUAACCGUAAAUGAAAGCUUUUGCUGCAGGCCCUGUGAUCACAUGCACUAUAUUAUUAUUGGCUUACGCCAUAGCUAGUUAAUUACUUUUUUCUUUAUAUUGGAGUCGGUCGCUGGACUUGUAAUUAAGAAACUACGUACAAGACUCCAUUCCUUUUUAUUUACCAAGUUCAAGAUUAUCUUUCUUGCACAACGCGCAAUAAUUUGUGUGAUACAUUAAAUAAAAUGCCCAAGGCUUCUUUCUGUUUAUUUAUCACACAAAUUAUUGCGCGUUGUGCAA
Molecule: unclassified non-coding RNA, 635 nt
Filed under: Hevea brasiliensis (rubber tree)
Lineage: Eukaryota; Viridiplantae; Streptophyta; Magnoliopsida; Malpighiales; Euphorbiaceae
Source: RNAcentral